GACAGAGGGUGCAAACGUUGUUCGGAAUUACUGGGCGUAAAGCGAGUGUAGGCGGUUUCCUAAGUCAGGUGUGAAAGCCCCGGGCUCAACCCGGGAAGUGCACUUGAAACUGGGAGGCUAGAGUACUGGAGAGGUUGGUGGAAUUCUCGGUGUAGAGGUGAAAUUCGUAGAUAUCGAGAGGAACACCGGUGGCGAAGGCGGCCAACUGGACAGAUACUGACGCUGAGACUCGAAAGCGUGGGGAGCAAACAGG
Molecule: ribosomal RNA, 253 nt
Filed under: uncultured bacterium
Lineage: Bacteria
Description: partial 16S ribosomal RNA
Rfam family: Bacterial small subunit ribosomal RNA
Source: RNAcentral